GCAGAUAAUUUGAAUACAGAUCUAAAGAUCGGCUCUUUGUAAAGAAAAGUGUUUAUGAUUAUUAACCUACGGAGGAGCAAGCAUAUGAGCAAGACUUUGAUUGGAAAGAUGAGCAAUAGCCACAGAACAAAGCGUAGACGCCUAGUGGCACCUACUGCAAGAUCACUACCGGACUUCACACAAGUUUGCCCCUGGCUGUACUCAGGUAAUGUUUCAUCUGAACCUCUCCAAAGAAGCGAUCUGUUUCUACAUUUGCUGAAGGAUCUGCCUGAAAAACAUUAAAAUAGUAGCAGGACUUGGUAUGACAUAUCUGGAACUUGCUGACAUCAAAACCUAACCUGUAGCCAUCCAAGUUCUGGCAGGGCUUCUAGGGUCGUAUUUCCUGACAACGGAUGGAUGUGCAACCAGAGACUUCGUAAAUCAACUCCAUAACACGCUUUUGAGCCCUCACCAGUGAAGACCCAAGAAUAACAUUUUGUCAGCCAACACACUGAAGGAGAAAUAAAAUGAUCCAAACUAAA
Molecule: long non-coding RNA, 521 nt
Organism: Mastomys coucha (southern multimammate mouse)
Lineage: Eukaryota; Metazoa; Chordata; Mammalia; Rodentia; Muridae
Exons: 5
Source: RefSeq, a predicted model, not a curated record